AGUCGGGUAGCCUUGAGGUUAUGUUUCCGCUUUAUAAGCGGAAGGUCAUGGGUUCGAUUCCCAGCUCCUCCA
This is a non-coding RNA of Aedes aegypti (yellow fever mosquito), 72 nucleotides long. Lineage: Eukaryota; Metazoa; Arthropoda; Insecta; Diptera; Culicidae. The record is from Rfam.